RNAcentral lists this unclassified non-coding RNA (268 nucleotides) under plant metagenome. RNAcentral's name for it is "partial contains small subunit ribosomal RNA, internal transcribed spacer 1, and 5.8S ribosomal RNA". The record is from RNAcentral.
UUUCCGUAGGUGAACCUGCGGAAGGAUCAUUAAUGAGUUGUCAUGGGGUUCGAUGCUGGCAGCCAAUUUUUGGAUGCAUGUGCUUGCCCUAACAAUCAUCUUCCAAACACCUGUGCACAUUUUUGAGGGAGUCUUGAGUUGGUUGCCGCUCUUGGGUGAUUUUCUCACAUUCCCUUAAAUCAUUAUACGCUAUUAACAUGUUGAACGUGCUCUGUGCCGCAAGGCUAUUAAUAUAAUACAACUUUUAACAACGGAUCUCUUGGCUCUC